UACGAAGGGUGCUAGCGUUACUCGGAAUUACUGGGCGUAAAGAGCGCGUAGGCGGCUUAACAAGUUGGAAGUGAAAUCCCAGGGCUCAACUCUGGAAUUGCUUUCAAAACUGUUUCGCUAGAGAUUGGUAGGGGAUAGUGGAAUUCCUAGUGUAGAGGUGAAAUUCGUAGAUAUUAGGAGGAACACCGGUGGCGAAGGCGACCGUCUGGACCAAAUCUGACGCUGUGGCGCGAAAGCGUGGGGAGCAAACAGG
RNAcentral lists this ribosomal RNA (253 nucleotides) under uncultured bacterium. Its description in RNAcentral is "partial 16S ribosomal RNA". It matches the Rfam family "Bacterial small subunit ribosomal RNA", at positions 524 to 776 of the family's 1533-position model. The record is from RNAcentral.